Molecule: ribosomal RNA, 250 nt
Filed under: uncultured bacterium
Lineage: Bacteria
Description: partial 16S ribosomal RNA
Rfam family: Bacterial small subunit ribosomal RNA
Source: RNAcentral
AUGUCGACUAGCCGUUGGGAUCCUUGAGAUCUUAGUGGCACAGCUAACGCAUUAAGUCGACCGCCUGGGGAGUACGGCCGCAAGGUUAAAACUCAAAUGAAUUGACGGGGGCCCGCACAAGCGGUGGAGCAUGUGGUUUAAUUCGAAGCAACGCGAAGAACCUUACCUGGCCUUGACAUGCUGAGAACUUUCUAGAGAUAGAUUGGUGCCUUCGGGAACUCAGACACAGGUGCUGCAUGGCUGUCGUCAG